This 67-nucleotide transfer RNA is filed under the name Camelus bactrianus (Bactrian camel). It matches the Rfam family "tRNA". From Rfam's summary of the family: Transfer RNA (tRNA) molecules are approximately 80 nucleotides in length. RNAcentral also lists the same sequence under 2 other names. The record is from Rfam by way of RNAcentral. Lineage: Eukaryota; Metazoa; Chordata; Mammalia; Artiodactyla; Camelidae.
GAGGAUAGAGCUCAGUGGUAGAGUGCAUGCUUAGCAUGCAUGAGGUCUGGGUUCAAUCCCAACCUCC